UUCAAUGUUACGCAAUCCUCUAAGAGAAAACAAAGAUUCUUUAAUGGGAGUUCAACCUCCUAUACCACAUAGAUUCACAUCUGAAAGUUGUAAUUUCUGUUCCUCCAGUUAUGAUGCUGCCAGGCCUGCUGAGAUUCUCCAAAUUCUAUUGUCUUUCCAGUUACAUUUGCCUCAGCAGAUAGACGAAGCCUCUGUUUUAAAAGAUGACAACUGAGUAAAUCUGAUCUGGAAGCCAUUAGGGAGAAAAAACAAUUUACUGUGUGGAUUCUGUGCUCAGGUUCAUGAUGAAUUUCAAAUCCACAUCUCGCUUUGAGAGCACUGUCAAAUGAUGGGAACUGAUAGGACUCACGGCAGAAAAUCGGUCAGUAAUCAACUCAACGUAUCCAUGACCUGGAUUAAUGGAAUUUGCAGAAAGGUCAACUGAAGGCCUUGCUUUAAUCAUAUAUAUUGGCUUUACAUUCUGAAUGGGCCUCUAACACUAUUGGUAAAAGAAAUUUAAUUCUGGGAACUGGUCUUUUAAUGAGCAUUCAUGAGGUACAAGUACAUGCAAAGGGACUUCCUGACCUUGUCAUCGCAAGCUCAACCCACCUAUAAAUUUCGAAAAACAUCAGUGCAAAACAUCAUCCUGUUAUUGAGAUGUUGAAUUUUGACUUGCUGCCCAAUUACGUUUGCCUGUCUUGCUUCCCACUUUCAGAGAUUGCAUUAGAUUCUGCCCAUUGAAUCUGAGAUUAUAUACCUUGAUCUCCUUCUAUCCACAUGUGAAUUUGCCCCAUAAUUAGUGCAUCUUUCAACUUGAAAGUAUAAUCCCUAUGUCUUUCUCCAAGCCAUUAGCAUACUUAUUUAAAGCUGAGGCACCAAUAAAGAUCCCAGAGGUACAUCACUUGUGACAUCCUGCCAAUCACAGAACAAACUACUUAUCCUUACUGUCUGUCUUCUUCUUUCCAAGCAAUUACCAAUUUAUGACAUAAGCUUAUCUCCAGUUCUACAUCAGC
Non-coding RNA from Chiloscyllium plagiosum (whitespotted bambooshark), 992 nucleotides. The record is from RefSeq and is a predicted model, not a curated record. NCBI's taxonomy places the organism in Eukaryota, Metazoa, Chordata, Chondrichthyes, Orectolobiformes, Hemiscylliidae.